Molecule: ribosomal RNA, 468 nt
Filed under: uncultured bacterium
Lineage: Bacteria
Description: partial 16S ribosomal RNA
Rfam family: Bacterial small subunit ribosomal RNA
Source: RNAcentral
GACGAACGCUGGCGGCGUGCUUAACGCAUGCAAGUCGAACGGAAAGGCCCUGCUUUUGUGGGGUGCUCGAGUGGCGAACGGGUGCGUAACACGUGAGUAACCUGCCCUUGACUUUGGGAUAACUUCAGGAAACUGGGGCUAAUACCGGAUCGGAGCUCAUGCUGCAGGGUGGGGGUUGGAAAGUUUCGGCGGUUGGGGAUGGACUCGCGGCUUAUCAGCUUGUUGGUGGGGUAGUGGCUUACCAAGGCUUUGACGGGUAGCCGGCCUGAGAGGGUGACCGGCCACAUUGGGACUGAGGUACGGCCCAGACUCCUACGGGAGGCAGCAGUGGGGAAUAUUGCACAAUGGGCGGAAGCCUGAUGCAGCAACGCCGCGUGCGGGAUGACGGCCUUCGGGUUGUAAACCGCUUUCGCCUGUGACGAAGCGUGAGUGACGGUAAUGGGUAAAGAAGCACCGGCUAACUACGUG